GUCGCUCAACGGAUAAAAGGUACCUCGGGGAUAACAGGCUGAUCUUGCCCAAGAGUCCAUAUCGACGGCAUGGUUUGGCACCUCGAUGUCGGCUCGUCGCAUCCUGGGGCUGGAGUAGGUCCCAAGGGUUGGGCUGUUCGCCCAUUAAAGCGGUACGCGAGCUGGGUUUAGAACGUCGUGAGACAGUUCGGUCCCUAUCCGCUGCGCGCGAUAGGAAAUUUGAGAGGAUCUGACCCUAGUACGAGAGGACCGGGUUGGACGAACCUCUGGUGUGUCAGUUGUUCCGCCAGGAGCACCGCUGAUUAGCUACGUUCGGGAUGGAUAACCGCUGAAAGCAUCUAAGCGGGAAGCCGGCCUCAAGAUGAGAUUUCCAUACCUUCGGGUGAGAGGCUCCCAGCCAGACUACUGGGUUGAUAGGCCAGAUGUGGAAGUGCAGUAAUGCAUGCAGCUGACUGGUACUAAUAAGCCGAUGACUUGAUAACACACC
This 487-nucleotide ribosomal RNA is filed under the name Pelobium manganitolerans. Its description in RNAcentral is "partial 23S ribosomal RNA". It matches the Rfam family "Bacterial large subunit ribosomal RNA", at positions 2444 to 2925 of the family's 2925-position model. The record is from RNAcentral. Lineage: Bacteria; Pseudomonadati; Bacteroidota; Sphingobacteriia; Sphingobacteriales; Sphingobacteriaceae.